Molecule: long non-coding RNA, 1039 nt
Organism: Mauremys reevesii (Reeves's turtle)
Lineage: Eukaryota; Metazoa; Chordata; Testudines; Geoemydidae
Exons: 4
Source: RefSeq, a predicted model, not a curated record
CAGCCAUUAGUCUUGACCAGCAGCAGAUUGCUUCACCUACUCCCACACUGGUUCAGCCGUGCUCUCACCGUAAAGCAAAUGACCUCAGGUCAGUGCAGCCGAGAUCCAGAAACCUUCCUCGAGUUUCAUCUGGAGCCUUCUGCCACACAGAGAGACGGCAGUCAGGCAGUACUGAAUACGCAAGGGAUCAUUACCCUGAAAAGGAGAACAGUGACAUCUUUGACAAUGCUGCACCUGUGAAAGGCUUUUCCAAGAGACACAGUUUCUUGAGGAGCCCACGGAAGUCGGUGAAGCCGUAUUCCAUGCAGACCUUCUCAAAGUCCUUUUUCGGCACCUUGGAGAGGAUUUCAAGCAUUUCCUUCUCAUCAGUCACCUUCUUCGCUUUCUUCUUUGGAGCAGGAGGGCCCCUGUGCAUAGACCCCAUAUAAUUCAGGGUGUAUUUCAAAGUGAUGAAAGCUUCUCUCACCUCUACAGCUUUGGAUGCAACAGGGCUCCUGCCUGUGGAAGCUGUAGGGCCAGACUUCCUAUUGGUAGGAUUCCAAACAAGAAUGGGGCUCCCCGCUUGUGGGAAAAAGGGGCAGGAAAUUAGUCUCCCCUACUGCUGGAAGGAGGGAGGGGAGAAUUCCCCGGCACCGCUGUCAUAGAAUCUGCUGGGAGUUGCCUUCUCCUCUAGUGCUGAGACCAGAGGGCAAAAGCGGGCUGACCUGUGAGUUACUGACUCUGAACAUGGCAGUCCCAAAGCCGGGAGCCAUGAGCAGUUCCCUGCACUGCUUGUACUGUUGUUCUGCUCUGUAAAGUGGCUCUGUAGAAACGGCCUAGUGUCUCUCAGCGCCCACUCAGCUUUUUGAAAUAUAGAAAUAAAAAUAAAGAACUAAUACAUAAAUCCCCCAGAGAUAAAACUCCUCACCUUUUUUUAAGCAAUUUUUUGAAAUCCAAUUUUUCUUGACCUGAAAAAAAAUUAGAAAAUCCCAAAGCAAACAACUGUAUUCAGUCAGCUGAAGCAUAAUAAUAAACAACAACACAAAUAACACCAUGAGGG